RNAcentral lists this long non-coding RNA (1947 nucleotides) under Homo sapiens (human). RNAcentral's name for it is "non-protein coding lnc-CYP1B1-3:1". Lineage: Eukaryota; Metazoa; Chordata; Mammalia; Primates; Hominidae. The record is from RNAcentral.
ACAUGCGAAGAAAAUGCCCAUGCAUUUCUUUAAGCAGAAAUAUAAGUUAGUGAAUUUGUUUCUUCUUGAUAAAAUGGUUAGAAUUUGCUUAGAAAUUCCUUUUAUCAUAAAAGUAAAAAUUAUCAGCUUUAACCUUCUCAUUUGUCUCCUACUGCUUCUUUUCUUGUUCUUUAUUCUCAUCCAUCCCCUUCUCUGUCUUUGCCUCUACUCUUCCUCUAUUCCUUCAUAAGAAUCUAAACAACUCCUUUAAACAUCAAUUCAAAUGUUCUUCCCUUGGAUAGAGAUCACUUCCAUCCCCUUCAUAACUAGCUGGGCCUAGUACCUUUGGGUUAGCAAUUUUGCCAGAGAUGUUGGAGAAAAAGGGGGUAGCAUUUCCUCUUGAAAAUCCAGCCUGCAAGGCAUUUACAAUCUCAUGCUGGUUUCGUAAGGCCCUGCUGUCCCUCCAGAAUAGAGGCCCACAGCACUCACUAGGUACCAGGCAUGGUGAACUUGCUUGCCCAAGCUCUCUAGUAGGUGGCAGAUUUACCCAGGUCUGCCUGACUUUAGAGCCUAUUCUUUUAAUCAUUGUACCUUACUGUCUUUAUAGACAAGGUCAGGCUCUCUAUGCUUCUGUGAGAUAAUUUUCCCUAGGAGUGUAAAUAGUUACUAUAGAGACACUAGAUGCCACCUGCUAUAGCCCUCAGAAGUGGCAUCAGACUAUGCCUGGGCUUUCUGUUUUAAGGACAAGGAAGAAUGAGUGUGACAGUGAAAGGUUGUAUUUGUAAAGGCUGGAAGAGCAGAAAUCCCCAAGUGCUAGAGAAAAGAAUGUGGACAAGUGUAUGGUAUCCAAUCAUAGUAUGUUAGAGCUGAGUUGGGCUUUAAAGAUGAUCUCCUCUAACCCCUUUAUUUGCAGUUGAAGACGUUGAGGAUCUGAGACAUUAAGUGAAUUGUCUGAGGACACACAGCCAGUUUCUUAGAUGCAGAGCCAAGGAUGAAUUUUUUUCAUUCAGACUAAGCUGUUUUUUGCAGUCCACCUUUACUCUACUUGGGGUUCAUUUCUUUUUAAGAAGUCUCAAAGAUUAGAAAAUUGAGUCAUUUUGAGCAAUAUAAUGUCAUAUUGUACAAUUCUGCUGAAAGUAAUUUUAAUAGCAAUGCCGGCAGAUCUCCCAAAUCCAUGGGUUUCAAAAUAUUUCCGCCUUUUGCUAAGCUAAUAUAUAGAAUUUCAAAACCAUAUUUAUACCACAUACAAUUUCCAAAGAGCUGGGCAAUUUCCUAUAAAAACUCAGCUGUGCACUGAUUGCCAAGUUGGAAAACUCAGGGUUUCCUGGCAACACCCACUUGGGCUCUAGGGAAUGCAAGCUUCUCAGCAAACAACCUCUCCUGACUUACGAGCUCCAUCGGCAGCCACGACCCGAGUCACAGCGGCCCUUUCUGAUGUUCUUGUCUCUGUCGCUUAUGUUUCUCAAGAACCUGUAAUCUUGCCUUAAUCCCUCACCAGCUGAAUACCUCCUACAUGCUAAACUCCUGGAAUGAAAGGUCCACAUUUCUCUCAUGCUAGGAGUUUGGGACCAGAAUUCAGAUGAACUCAUUGCUAGUACUGGUUCAAAAGCUAAUGAGCCCUCUAGAUUCCCAGGUCCUUAGUUUCCUCAUGGGUAAAAUAUAGACAAUAACUCCUACCUGUUCAUCUUUCAGGGCUUUUCCGAAGAUUUUCAACAUCUGAAAUUCACAGGAUCAUGGAGACGAACUAAACCAUCAUGGAGACUAACUAAACCAGAUGCAUCUAGCCCCUCAUGUUAGAGUUGAGAAAACAGAAACCCAGGGUUUGGGGACUCCCUUGAAGUCAUCAAGUUCCUGUUGAUGGCAAAAUCAGGACCAAGCUUCUGAUCCUCCCAAAUAUUCCUUCACUUCUCAGUGCUGCCUGUGAUGAGAAAGAUCAAAGCAUGCAUACAAUUAUAAAUCAUGACACAG